AGAAUGGAACAUCUUAACACAAUAAAGUGCAACAAAAAAUACAAAUAAAUUGCAACAUCACUAAAAUUCGCAACAAAACCCACCUCUGACUUCUUCUGUUCCGUUCACCGGAACCAAGCGACCGGCAUGGGGAGAGAAGCGAGAUGAUGGCACAGACGAGGAUGAGGGCAAGCAACGAUUUUAGGUGGGUGACCCCGCCAGGGCCAGCGGCAUCGACAUCCAGUCUAGUGCCUCCUUCUUUGCGUUGCAUUGCUCCGUUGCUGGUAGAGGGCUAGCACCUCGACCAGUCAUCCCUUUCGCCUCGGCAUGCCAUGCCGCUGCCAGCGUGGUCGUUGGCGUCCUCCUCCCUUUUUGCGUCGUGUUGCCCUGUCGCCACCCGCGUGGCCGCCCAUGGCCUCCUCCCACUUCACGUCUCGGUGGACGCAACGACGAUGGCAGUGCCAUCGUGUGUUCCCUAUGAGCGCAAAAACGAUGAGGAGAAAAUGAGAGGGUAAGGUUGUGGGAAGGAUGGAUUGAAUCAACUGUGGAACCCAUCUUAUAUGACCGUCCGACGUUUGGUCUGACAUCGAACGCUCGGGGAUCAGCCUAUUUAUGGAUAUCUUGCUCUAAAUUAUUUGUUAGCUUUAAUUCAUUCCUAUAAGCAAGUGUCUUUACUCUGUCCAAUCAUCCAUUUCAUACUUGUUGAUAGUUAGAAGAUUUGAUGUUAGAAAAUAUCAAUGCCUACUUCUAAUUUAAUUGCAAAUAAGUUAACGGUUAUGCUUCGUAACAAAGGCCGAAAGAUUUAUCCUUAUAGUGGCCAAGGUGCAUCCUUCGAAACAACUAGUCGUGCACCUAAGCCCUACCUGGAAAUAGGUUUUGGUUUUGUAAAGCAUUUUCUCCCCACCAAUCGGUGACCCUAUUGAGACUCGAAGGCACUUGGCACUUUAGAUCCAUCAUCAGAUUUCAGUAAUUAUUCCCACAUAAAAAUGCUAUGUUCUGAGCAUGGCUAAGCAUAAACCUAAAAGUUCUACUAAGCACAAGAUAUAUAAUAUUCACUAGCUGAUUUUGUUUACCUAGGGUUGUCAAGGAUAAACAUGAUAUAAUAACUAACUAGCAUGGUGGCCCGCGCAGAUUACGCGGCUAGCAUGAUUAUAUUUUCUCUCAUAUAAUAGUACAUAUGUUUUCUUAUUAUAUUAUUCAAAUAUAUUAAAACGACAACAUAAUUUUAAAUUUUACAAUAACUUUACAAAACUACUAAUGUGUAAUAUUCAUAUUGUAUUUUAUAUACGUGUUAGUUAUUAAUUAUUUUUAAUAUCAAAUUUUAGUUAUUUGUAAAUUAUAUAUAUUCCUACAUGGACUCUAGAUUCGUCUUUUAAUAUUUCUUUUUUUAAUUCCGAAUUUUCUGUAAAUUGUAUUUCUAUAUAGACUCUAUGCUCUUCUUCCAAUAUUAUUUAUUUUUAUUUCUGAAUUUUUAUUAUUUCUAAUUGUAUUUCUAUGUGGACUCUAAACUCAUCUUUCAAUAUUCUUUAAUUUUUAAUUUCGAAUUUUAGUUACUUCUAAAUUGUAUUCCUAUAUUGACUUUAAACUCUUCUUUCCAUGUUUUUCUUAAUUUCAAAUUUUAGUUAUUUGUAAAUUGUAUUUUUAUACGGACUCUAAACUGUACUUUUAAUUUUAUUAUGUUUAUUCUAAAUUUUAGUUAGUUUUAAAUUCCUAUAUGGACUCUAUACUCUACUUAUAAUAUUCCUUAUUUUUUAAUUCCGAAUUUCUAUUUUUUAUUAAUUGUAUUUCUAUAUGGACUCUAUACUCUACUUCUAAUAUUCCUUAUUUUUAAUUCCAAAUUUCUAUUAUUUCCUAAUUGUAUUUCUAUAUGGACUCUAUACUCUACUUCUAAUAUUCUUUAUUUUUAAUUCCGAAUUUCAGUUAUUUUCUAAUUGUAUUUCUAUAUAGACUCUAUACUCUACUUCUAAUAUUCCUUAUUUUUAAUUUCGAAUUUAAGUUAUUUCCUAAUUGUAUUUCUAUAUGGACUCUAUACUCUACUUCUAAUAUUCCUUAUUUUUAAUUUCUAUAUGGACUCUAUACUCUACUUCUAAUAUUCCUUAUUUUUAAUUCCGAAUUUCAAUUAUUUUCUAAUUGUAUUUCUAUAUGGACUCUAGUCUCCUCUUCUAAUAUCCUUAUUUUUUAAUUCCGAAUUUCAACAAUUGUAUUUCUAUAUGGACUCUGCUUUUUCUUUUUCUCCGAUUAAUGUAAGAAUUUCUAGGCUAUGAGAGCGAACGUGGAGGCUCCUUUUUUUAUUCCUUUAAUAAUAUAAUAGAUAAGGCCAUAAAUAUACGAAUGACUACUAAAACAGUUAUGUGCGUCAGCAUUUUGAUAAACCUGUGCAAUAAUUUAAACCAAGAUAAUUUUCACAUACUAGGAUUCAAUAUUCUCAAGGAAAGCGGUAUGGUUUGCCUUGCUCAACAACAAGGUCUUCCGAUGACUUGAUCUGCACUUCA
RNAcentral lists this small RNA (2471 nucleotides) under Oryza sativa Japonica Group (Japanese rice). RNAcentral's name for it is "sRNA Os06g0272600". The record is from RNAcentral. Lineage: Eukaryota; Viridiplantae; Streptophyta; Magnoliopsida; Poales; Poaceae.